Molecule: long non-coding RNA, 305 nt
Organism: Sapajus apella (tufted capuchin)
Lineage: Eukaryota; Metazoa; Chordata; Mammalia; Primates; Cebidae
Exons: 3
Source: RefSeq, a predicted model, not a curated record
UGGUAUACAAGCUAAGAAAAUAUUAUACCUGUAUAGGACACUUACUAUGAAUGGAGUAACUUUCAGAACUGGAAGUUGCUCUCGGUGAGUCAGUGGGUGAAUGGUGAGUAAAUGUGAAGGCUUAGGACAUUAUUAUUUACUACUGUAGACUUUAUUAAUACUGUACACUUAGGUGAUGCUAGAUUUAUUAAAAAAUCUUUAACUUUCUUCAAAAUAAACAGCUUACUCUAACUUUUCUACUUUAUGAACUUUAGAUUUUUAACUGUUUGAUUAUUUUGUAAUUGUAAUUAGCUUAAAACACGAAC